Cotesia glomerata is the source of this 394-nucleotide long non-coding RNA. RefSeq lists it as uncharacterized. The transcript is spliced from 2 exons. NCBI's taxonomy places the organism in Eukaryota, Metazoa, Arthropoda, Insecta, Hymenoptera, Braconidae. The record is from RefSeq and is a predicted model, not a curated record.
UUGGCCGCUUUUUUUAAAUUCACAAUAUCAUUGGCGGGAAUCCUCGCCCGAGAGGGCGCCACUAGACGGACAACUUGUCCUUUUGGUGCUUGGCGCGCAUUCAUGAUCAAUGAUCAUCAACAUUUCUAUAUACACUAGCACCAACUACCAACUACUUUACCAACUAUUGCGCACUAUUGCGUUGUAGGUUGUAGGUUGUUCGAGACGAAACGAGCGUCAUUGUAGAUGUUGAUCUUGGUCAGUUGUUUUGACCUUUCAAGGGUCAUGCUGAUCUGUGUGCAAAAGACCCAAAUUUUUUGCAACAGUGGUGUCUAUUCGGUGAAUAAAUUUACCGUCAAUAAUAACAGGAAUGGAAGAAGAUCUUUUGUCGCACCUGCAGAUUAAAUUUGUCAAU